GCAUGGGUGAGAUGUGUCUCCCACAAAUCUUAUACGACAUUGGCAUAUUACCCAUCUGACA
This 61-nucleotide small nucleolar RNA is filed under the name Otolemur garnettii (small-eared galago). RNAcentral describes it as "Small nucleolar RNA U13 (ENSOGAG00000022690.1)". Lineage: Eukaryota; Metazoa; Chordata; Mammalia; Primates; Galagidae. The record is from RNAcentral.